Molecule: microRNA precursor, 175 nt
Filed under: Cajanus cajan (pigeon pea)
Lineage: Eukaryota; Viridiplantae; Streptophyta; Magnoliopsida; Fabales; Fabaceae
Description: miRNA gene-KK1_032890
Source: RNAcentral
UGAAUAGAUCAAAUCUGUAAAUUUUUAAAAAAUUUAAAAACUAUUUGAUACUUUGUUUCAUUUAUUCAAAUCAAUAUAUAUAAUAUUUUUUUGAUUAUCUGUCAAUUUGAAUUAAUGAAACGAAGUAUCAAAUAAUUUUCAAUUUUUUUAAAAAUUUACAGAUUUGAUCUAUGCA